Molecule: long non-coding RNA, 1370 nt
Organism: Oncorhynchus tshawytscha (Chinook salmon)
Lineage: Eukaryota; Metazoa; Chordata; Actinopteri; Salmoniformes; Salmonidae
Exons: 3
Source: RefSeq, a predicted model, not a curated record
UGUUGUUUGUCAGGCAGCCUACCACAACCGUGACCUCCCAACCCCUCAGUAACCCGGCUGUUAGCAGCGCCGCCUCCCAGACUGUAAUGUAGUGAACAUUAUGCCACACCCCAGUCCGUGUAUUUGUACUGUGGGAUUCCAGUUCCAUGUUUUACAGUAGCUAGACAGUGCGAGGGACAUGUGAAAAAUGUAAGGCCAGCAUACUUCUGAGUAAAGGUAAACUAAAGUAUACAAAUGCCCCGACCUCAGUUCUUAUAACAAUAAGCAAUCUCAACAGUCGUAUGUUAUUGGCGACGAGUGAAACGCACAAGAGAAGAAUGCAAUUUACAAGACGAACUACGUGCGUACGAGCCGUGGUAAAGAGCAGAAGCAGGGGUUUCCUAGACCUCAGCCGCAACCUCAUGCUCUGGUAAGGGCCACUUCGACUGGGUUCAUGGUCAUCACUAUCUGGUAAUGCUAGAAAAGACAGAAAUGUUGCUUUUUAACCCCACAUUUUCAACCACAAACUAUCCUUAACCAUCACCUGAAACUGAAAACAUAUCCUAUCUACAUGCUCAUCGGUUCACCAAUCUGUAUUUUUGCAUGGCCAUCCCAUGAUGUUCCUUCCCUCUCUCUUCUCUCCCUCACCCUCUUUCCCUUUCUCUCUCUGUCCCUCCCUCCCCCAGGGCAGUGACCUCAAUGGUUUUCUACAGUCUCUCCCUCAACACCACCAACAUGAACGGCGACUCCUACCUCAACUACUUUAACUCGGCACUAACAAGAUUGUGACCUACAUGAGUACCGGAGUUCUGAAUCGCCGUUCCCGGCGACCCACAAUCCUCUUCUACUUGCUGCUUUUCUGUGGCAUUCAUGCUGCUGUUCAUCAAGCUGGUCCAAGGGGAUCUGUGUCUGUUUUGAACCCCAGUGAUCUGUAACCAAAGCGAAAUUAUGUUUUCCCCCCUACCUAAUACCUCAAGGUCUUGUGUAGUACAUUAUCUAUUACACAUUAUACACUGGAUGGUUCGAGCCCUGAAUGCUGUUUGACUGACAGCCGUGGUAUAUCAGACCGUAUACCACAGCCCUGCUCCUGUGUCCCCUCAGAUCAGCACAUCCUGUCCCAGGUACUGGCGUUGCUGGGCGUGUUGGGGGCAUACUGUUUCCUCUACCUCUUAUCCACUGAGCUCUUGCCAACUGUGGUCAGGAACAUGGGCCUGGGUAUGGCCUGGGCAUGGAAGCACGCAUAGAAAGCAUCCUCUCCCCCUACGUCAUCUACAUCAGUGUGGGGGGGGGGGGUUCGUGUGUGUUUGUGGAAGAUUUCAUGCAUUAGCAAGAAUGAAUGUACACUGAACACAAAUAUACAUGCGUCAUACACAUGUUGGUCCCAUGUUUCA